Molecule: long non-coding RNA, 214 nt
Organism: Saccostrea echinata
Lineage: Eukaryota; Metazoa; Mollusca; Bivalvia; Ostreida; Ostreidae
Exons: 3
Source: RefSeq, a predicted model, not a curated record
AAGAUAAUAGUUGCUACGAACAAGUUAGUCUUGAUGAACAAGAUGGAGAAACUACUAAGAAAAACGAGAUAUCAACCAUGUACAAAUCUGUUGUUGCCACUGUCUUACUACUGAUAGUAGCAUUUGUGUUGAUAUUGACUGGAAUUGCAAUCUUUCUAAGGAGAAAAAGGAGGGAGAGGAAUACAGACGAACAGGAAGGAAAUCCCAAUUCUUC